RNAcentral lists this long non-coding RNA (3954 nucleotides) under Panax ginseng (ginseng). RNAcentral's name for it is "long non-coding RNA (PGIN_LNC008194)". The record is from RNAcentral. Lineage: Eukaryota; Viridiplantae; Streptophyta; Magnoliopsida; Apiales; Araliaceae.
AGAAAAGCACUGGCAUAUCUGAAAUAUUCAGUCAGGUAGCAAGUGUAUAGGUUCUAAGUUGGUUCUAGUUAAACAGAUUAGUCAGUUAACAGUUGGUUAGCAGACAAAUAACAUGUCAGGGUGCAGAAGAUAAGGUGUAGUAGGUGAGCUAGGGUGGCUGGAAGAAGCCAAAGAAAAUAGGCUAGUAAUGAUUACAUGCAACUGAUAGAGAGACCGAGUAGGGGCCGGAUAGGGGCCAAUGUAGUAUGACCGGGAGUAGGAAGGCUCGGCUAUAUAACUUCAAGACCUUAAUUGACUUCCCAAAACUCUAGCACAAUAAAGAAGGAAAAAGAGAGUCGACUGGGAGUGAGAGUAGAAGAAUUCGGCUGGAGAAGGAGAAAAAGGAAUUGAGCAGAAAUCAAUUGCAACCUCUAAGCUAUUAAGGUACUUUUUUCUAUUCUCUUUCCAGUCCAUUUUCGUGUCACUUGUGCUCUGUUAUGGCCGAAUGGCCUAGAAUAGACGUAAGGGACAGUUGUGCUAAUUGUUAUGCUAUGUGUACUGUUGUGAUUUGGAACUGUAAUGUAGCACAUUAUGUUUGUUAUUACUUAAGCCAUAAGGCUGGGAUCACUAAGCUAAGAUUUGUGUAUUAGGUAUAAGUAUAUAUAAACUACACUUUAUGUGUUUGAUAAAAGGCUUGUGAGAACUGUUGAUAACAACUGUCUUAAAAAGGGAGUGCAGUCAAGCCUAAUUCUAUAUCAAUAUUAUAUAUUGAAGUCCUAAAGAUACAAAGGUGCUAAGAGGGCAGUUUUUGCAUGAACAUAAGAUGUUAUAACUGAUUGUAUACCAGUCCAUAUAUGAACUAAGCAUUUAACUAUGACUGAGCCACUGUUUUAAGGAUUUUGUAUGCCAGACUAGAGGUUUUGAUAAUGACUGAAUUAGUAUAAACUAUUCCAUGUCAUCCAAUCAUACACUAUGCAUAUUAAAUGCUAUAUAAAAGAGAUAGUAUAAGCUUCUAUGUUGCACACUUAUGUUAUCUUUGUAAGCAUGUUGGUAAACCAUGUUUGUUUUGAAGUUAAAUACCAAAGAGGGCUGUGUUAGCCUAAAGCAUAAAGACCUCGACUUAGAUGCUUUAAAACAUGAAAAGAUGGUAGAUAAAAGAUACAUGUGUGAGAAAGGCAUAUGUAUUAGUGCUUUCUACCAUUUGGUGUAAUAAACCUUGCCUAAAUUGCUUGUCUAAGACUGUUAUAAUGGCAAAAACAGUAUGGCUGGGAAGGGAGUCCAAAAUGGUGGUUUAAUUCUAACAUAAAAUGUAGCUAUGCUUCAAAUACACUUUAUGCCUAUGUAUAACAUGUAUUGGUGUAACACUUGAGCAAAACAAAGUAAACAGGGACUGAAAUGGUGAGCUAUGCUAACUGUUAUGAGAGGCUUGACUAAGUAAUGACUAUCAUUUAAAUUUUGUGAAUGCUUGGCUUAGGCACAAGGAGAUAGGUUGGCUGUGGUGUUAUAAGGUGAUCUAAUGUAGUUAUAGAGCAAGCAAAUAGCUAUGACACCAGUGAUUAUGGACUGUGCACACCACCUGCUCGAUGAAAAUCCCAAGUGGACUGCCUUAAUUAAAAGUCAAGUAGUAGGCACAAACAAGGCUAGAAAUUUACUCAUGUAUUGCAUGUAUCGAUAAUUAGCAAGUUAAGCCUCUUAAAAUGAAAUAAAAUUCAGUCUCAAGUUAAAAUAAAGAAUUAGUAAAAUUAGAAUGUCAAGCACUGUUUUGGGCAGUCUAUUAAGACAGUCAUGAUAGUGUUAUAAAUUCUAAACAUACUUGUAUGUGCUAGACAUAAUUCGUAUAAAAACCAAGCUUUUGUUCAAAAGUUUUAUAACUUUUUGGACUGCUCUCUUUUAGAAAAUAGUAUAGAGGAGGCAGGGCUGCUGCCUAAUGGCACCGGCAGGCAUAAAUUUUUUUGGGACUUGUCUCUUUUGGUUUCCUAUUAGUUUUAGUUAUUAAGAUAAUAGGUUUUUGGAUGAGGUAGAAAAGUGGGGACCAAGAUUAACUUUGGUUGCAAGAUUUCUAGUUAUAACAAAGAUAGAGCUAGGAAAGGCUUAUGAACUGCUGUCUAUGACAGCAGUGACUGCCACAACACGCAGAAGAAAAAAAAAUCUAGCAUGCUCGGGAUUAAAAGUAAGAGAAGUCAGUUAAGUCCCUGCCCUUUUGUUUAGUUACUGCAGUUGAUGAAGCAUGAUAGUAUGCAAAUGAGCAAGGUUGUUGCCUAGGUAGCUGCAGUAGACUGGAUGGGUGAUGGCUGGGAGCUGCUAAUAGGCUUUCAGGCAGUGCGUUUGGUUAGUUGCCCUACCUAUCGCACAUUAAAGCCUCUUAGUGAUUGAACUAGUUAGCUAGGAAGUAGAAUGGCUUGAAGCAAGGAUCAAGGGGGAAGGGGCUGCUGCCACUAAUUGCAGUCACAUGUACUGCAGCAGGUGCAGCUGCUGCCUAUGGGCAGCAGCAGGCGGCAAGGAAGGCUGCAGUUGUGAGCUGUGGCUGAGGUAGUAUUAGGUAGUAUAGUUUAAACUAGAAAUACAACUGGAGAAAUUAAUUAACUGAUUGCUUAAAUAAGUAUGUAUAUAGUAUAGUUAUAAUAACUUAGUAGUUAUAUUAUACUUGGGGCCGUUAAGCCAAUGUUGUGGCUGCUAUGUUGUGGUUGGGGCUGCGAGGCCAAGUGUGGCCACACCAAGCUUAGCUAAGCCUCAUGGGGCCAAGCCAAGCUUGGUUGAUUGGCACGAAAGAACAAUAAGGAACCAAUUGGUACAUUUAAUAAAAAGGUUUAGAAGGGGACUGUUUUGACAUAGAGAGGAAAAUCAAGAAUGAUUCACUUUUGAAUAAAGCUAUAAAGUAUUACAAGAAUUAUAAAUUACUCAACCAAGUUGUGAAUAUUUUCAAAGGCAUAAAAUAAGUUACCAAAGCAUCUUGUAUGCUAGAAAUCUCUAAGCAAAGCAUGAAAAUUUCAUGUAACUAAGUUCUUAAUAUGGUGUAAGCAAUAUAUAGGAUUGGUGUGACACCAUUAAAGAGAAAAAUGGUGAGGAUAAGAACAUGGAUGAGAUAUUUGAAAAAUGUGUUACAUAUAAGAAAUCUAUCCAUGACUACAAACAUGCUUGAUUAAUGCAAAUAAUAACUGUAAUAUGAUUCCUAUUACUUGUUGUAAGCAUGUCGAACCCCAUCAAAGUGAAAAAUAUCUAGUGUGAAAGCAUGAAUGAGAUAUUUGAAAAAUGUAUCAAAAAUAAGAAUUUAACUACAACCAUGAUCACUGAAACUAUGUGAUAUGUGAGCUUACAAACUAUAUAACUUAGCUAUGUGAUUAACAUGCUUGUUAAUAUAAAUAACUGUGUAGGAUUUUGUGAGAACACUUCAAAUAAAGCUGAAAUCCUAACAAUAGACUACAAACAAGGCAAGUUUCUCAGUUUAUUUAUGUGGACUUAUAAUUGCUAUAAAUAACUGUUAGCAUGAUUUAUGUUUAUAAGUAUGUAAUACAUAUGAACUGCAUUAUUUGCUUUGUGAAUGAUGAAGAUCAAAUUAUGACUAAUUAUUGAAUUGAGUCGGAGAACUCAAUAUAUAUGUGUAAUGAAUGACAGGUACAUGACAUGUGUAGUAUGCUAUGGUAUGUAUGUUGUUACCAGCAGGACAUAAAUGUGAUAAUGUAUUGGUAAUAUGCUUGAACACCAAGAAUAUAAAUGCAUGAACUGAAUGUGAAACCUAUGUGCUACGUGAUGCAUGAUAGACUGUUAGACUUGUUGGGUCGUCGUACUCAAUUUUGCUUAAUUUGUAGGUUAAAGCUAUGAUGCGAUCUAUCGUGAUUAGGAGCGCAUGAAAAGAUGACUAGUGUUUUAGUUGAGAUUGUGUUGAAUCAUUUGAUGAGAUUUUCAUGUGUAAAUCACAGAUGUGUAAAUUGUUGAAAUUAUUCGAUAGACGAAGAUUAUUUGUUCUAAAAAGGGGAU